RNAcentral lists this ribosomal RNA (558 nucleotides) under uncultured bacterium. Its description in RNAcentral is "bacterial SSU rRNA". It matches the Rfam family "Bacterial small subunit ribosomal RNA", at positions 51 to 598 of the family's 1533-position model. The record is from RNAcentral.
ACACAUGCAAGUCGAGGGGCAGCGGGAUUGAAGCUUGCUUCAAUUGCCGGCGACCGGCGCACGGGUGAGUAACGCGUAUCCAACCUUCCGUACACUCAGGGAUAGCCUUUCGAAAGAAAGAUUAAUACCUGAUGGUAUGAUGAGAUUGCAUGAUAGCAUCAUUAAAGAUUUAUCGGUGUACGAUGGGGAUGCGUUCCAUUAGGCAGUUGGCGGGGUAACGGCCCACCAAACCUACGAUGGAUAGGGGUUCUGAGAGGAAGGUCCCCCACAUUGGAACUGAGACACGGUCCAAACUCCUACGGGAGGCAGCAGUGAGGAAUAUUGGUCAAUGGACGAGAGUCUGAACCAGCCAAGUAGCGUGAAGGAUGACUGCCCUAUGGGUUGUAAACUUCUUUUAUACGGGAAUAAAGUGAGCCACGUGUGGCUUUUUGUAUGUACCGUAUGAAUAAGGAUCGGCUAACUCCGUGCCAGCAGCCGCGGUAAUACGGAGGAUUCGAGCGUUAUCCGGAUUUAUUGGGUUUAAAGGGAGCGUAGGCGGGUUGUUAAGUCAGUUGUGAA